Molecule: ribosomal RNA, 2012 nt
Filed under: bioreactor sludge metagenome
Description: bacterial LSU rRNA
Rfam family: Bacterial large subunit ribosomal RNA
Source: RNAcentral
UCAAGCGAAUAAGCGCACACGGUGGAUGCCUUGGCGGUCAGAGGCGAUGAAGGACGUGGCAGCCUGCGAAAAGUAUCGGGGAGCUGGCAACAAGCUUUGAUCCGGUAAUGUCCGAAUGGGGAAACCCACCGCUCCGGCGGUAUCCUGCAGUGAAUACAUAGCUGCUGGAAGCGAACCUGGUGAACUGAAAUAUCUAAGUAACCAGAGGAAAAGAAAUCAACCGAGAUUCCCUGAGUAGCGACGAGCGAACGGGGAACAGCCCUUAAGCUGGUAUGGUUCUAGAAAAACGGUCUGGAAAGGCCGGCCAUAGAAGGUGAUAGCCCUGUAUUUGAAAGGGCCAUUCCAGUGAAGACGAGUAGGGCGGGGCACGUGAAACCCUGUCUGAACAUGGGGGGACCAUCCUCCAAGGCUAAAUACUACUGACCGACCGAUAGUGAACCAGUACCGUGAGGGAAAGGCGAAAAGAACCCCGGAGAGGGGAGUGAAAUAGAACCUGAAACCGUGUGCGUACAAGCAGUAGGAGCUCGAAAGAGUGACUGCGUACCUUUUGUAUAAUGGGUCAGCGACUUACUGUUCGUGGCAAGCUUAACCGUAUAGGGGAGGCGAAGGGAAACCGAGUCUGAUAAGGGCGCAUAGUCGCGGGCAGUAGACCCGAAACCGGGUGAUCUAGUCAUGCCCAGGGUGAAGGUGCGGUAACACGCACUGGAGGCCCGAACCCACUCCCGUUGCAAAGGUAGGGGAUGAGGUGUGAUUAGGAGUGAAAAGCUAAUCGAACCCGGAGAUAGCUGGUUCUCCUCGAAAGCUAUUUAGGUAGCGCCUCAUAUGUAUCCUCUCGGGGGUAGAGCACUGUUAUGGCUAGGGGGUCAUCGCGACUUACCAAACCAUUGCAAACUCCGAAUACCGAGACGGACUGUAUGGGAGACACACGGCGGGUGCUAACGUCCGUCGUGAAAAGGGAAACAACCCAGACCCACAGCUAAGGUCCCAAAUUUUGUGCUAAGUGGAAAACCAUGUGGAAAGGCACAGACAGCCAGGAGGUUGGCUUAGAAGCAGCCACCCUUUAAAGAAAGCGUAAUAGCUCACUGGUCGAGUCGGUCUGCGGGGAAGAUUUAACGGGGCUAAGCACAGAACCGAAGCUUGGGGUGCAUAACUUUGUUAUGCGCGGUAGAGGAGCGUUCCGUAAGCCUGCGAAGGUGGAUUGAGAAGUCUGCUGGAGGUAUCGGAAGUGCGAAUGCUGACAUGAGUAACGAUAAUGCGGGUGAAAAACCCGCACGCCGAAAGCCCAAGGUUUCCUUGCGCAACGUUAAUCGGCGCAGGGUGAGUCGGCCCCUAAGGCGAGGCAGAAAUGCGUAGUCGAUGGGAAGCAGGUUAAUAUUCCUGCACCUCGCGUAAGUGCGAUGGAGGGACGGAGAAGGUUAGGUGUACCAGGCGUUGGUUGUCCUGGGGAAAGGCGGUAGGUUUGGAUCUUUGGCAAAUCCGGGAUCCUUUAAGACCGAGCACCGAGACGAGUCUUUAAGACGAAGUCACUGAUACCACGCUUCCAGGAAAAGCUCCUAAGCUUCAGCUUACGCAGACCGUACCGUAAACCGACACAGGUGGGUAGGAUGAGAAUUCUCAGGCGCUUGAGAGAACUCGGGUGAAGGAACUAGGCAACAUGGCACCGUAACUUCGGGAGAAGGUGCACCAUUGCCGGUGGCCCAUGCGGGCUAUAGCUGGUGAUGGUCGAAGUGACCAGGCCGCUGCGACUGUUUAUCAAAAACACAGCACUCUGCAAACACGAAAGUGGACGUAUAGGGUGUGACGCCUGCCCGGUGCUGGAAGGUUAAUUGAUGGGGUCAGCCGCAAGGCGAAGCUCUUGAUCGAAGCCCCAGUAAACGGCGGCCGUAACUAUAACGGUCCUAAGGUAGCGAAAUUCCUUGUCGGGUAAGUUCCGACCUGCACGAAUGGCGUAACGACAGCGGCGCUGUCUCCACCCGAGACUCAGUGAAAUUGAAAUCGCUGUGAAGAUGCAG